This 301-nucleotide ribosomal RNA is filed under the name uncultured bacterium. RNAcentral's name for it is "partial 16S ribosomal RNA". It matches the Rfam family "Bacterial small subunit ribosomal RNA", at positions 509 to 807 of the family's 1533-position model. The record is from RNAcentral.
CAGUAGCCGCGGUAAUACGGAGGGGGCUAGCGUUGUUCGGAAUUACUGGGCGUAAAGCGCACGUAGGCGGCUUGGUAAGUUAGAGGUGAAAGCCCGGAGCUCAACUCCGGAAUUGCCUUUAAGACUGCCGAGCUAGUAGGUGAGAGAGGUAAGUGGAAUUCCGAGUGUAGAGGUGAAAUUCGUAGAUAUUCGGAAGAACACCAGUGGCGAAGGCGGCUUACUGGCUCAUUCUAGACGCUGAGGUGCGAAAGCGUGGGGAGCAAACAGGAUUAGAUACCCCAGUAGUCCCUGUCUCUUAUAC